AGAUUGAACGCUAGCGGGAUGCUUUACACAUGCAAGUCGAACGGCAGCGCGGACUUCGGUCUGGCGGCGAGUGGCGAACGGGUGAGUAAUAUAUCGGAACGUGCCCAGUAGCGGGGGAUAACUACGCGAAAGCGUGGCUAAUACCGCAUACGCCCUACGGGGGAAAGGGGGGAUUCUUCGGAACCUCUCACUAUUGGAGCGGCCGAUAUCAGAUUAGCUAGUUGGUGAGGUAAAGGCUCACCAAGGCGACGAUCUGUAGCUGGUUUGAGAGGACGACCAGCCACACGUGGACUGAGACACGGCCCAGACCUCCGUACGGGAGGCAGCAGGUGGGUAAUUUGGACAAGUGGGGGAAACCUGAUCCAGCCAGUCCCGCGUGUGCGAUGAAGGCCGUUCGGGUUAGUAAGCUACGUUUGG
RNAcentral lists this ribosomal RNA (417 nucleotides) under uncultured soil bacterium. RNAcentral describes it as "bacterial SSU rRNA". It matches the Rfam family "Bacterial small subunit ribosomal RNA", at positions 26 to 439 of the family's 1533-position model. The record is from RNAcentral.